This is a long non-coding RNA of Melospiza melodia melodia, 2118 nucleotides long. RefSeq lists it as uncharacterized. NCBI's taxonomy places the organism in Eukaryota, Metazoa, Chordata, Aves, Passeriformes, Passerellidae. The transcript is spliced from 4 exons. The record is from RefSeq and is a predicted model, not a curated record.
GGGACACUGUUCCAGUGCCCAGCCACCCUCUGGGGAAGAACCUUUCCCUGGCAUCCAGUGUAAACCUCCCCUGACACAGCUUCAGGCUGUUCCCUGAGGUCCUUUCAAUGGUCACGGCAGAGAAGAGGUCAGAGCCUGCCCCUCCUGUUCCGACUCUUGAGGAAGCUGCACUGUGGUAGAGCCUCCUCUUUUCUUCAUGAAGGAAAAUAUCCAAGCUUACUCUGGAGAGAAGAGGAAAAUACUGACUGCAACAUCAUCCUCAGACCAUCAGAUACCUGUGUUGAGCCAAUUGAGACCAUGGAAGGCAAGCCAUGCAAUGCUGUAACUAAUGCAACUAAUACACAAUACCCAGGAGAACACACUGCACAUGGAAGAAUUUAUCAGAAUCCCUUGAACUCAGUGAAUAAAAGCAGAUUUUAAUAGAAAAUUAAACUACAUCCCAAGUCAUGAAUCCCUUCAGGCUAAGCAGUCUUCCAAACGUACUGGCUGAAAAAGUGAAUUCCAAACUAAGAGUAGAUGUACAGAGCACAAUUAUUUUUUCCCUAUGGAGCUUCUGGGUAUUUAGCACUGUGGAUCCAUAAUAUCAAAUAGGGAUGGUUGUUUCAUGCAAUUAUAGAACAGCUUGAGUUGCAAGGGCCUUAAAAAGAUCACCUAGUUCCAACCCAACUGCCAUGGGCAGGGACACCUUCCACAUGUGUGUGUGUCAGUGAAAAAAAUCCCUCAUUUAGAGCUGCUGUUAUGUUUUAAUGUUUAUUCCUCUUGGAAAAAUCAGGAAUAGCAUAAUUGUUAAUAUCUAAUUUACUUUAUUUUGCUCCCAGGACUAAUAUGGUUCCUUUUCUGUACUACUUCAAUAACUGAAAGAAUGUAUUUAUCAAUUCAGUUAAAAAAGGCUUGCUGUAGUUGUUUUCAGUCUAUGAGGCAUGAAGAUAAACCAAAAAAAGGUUUUAAGUCUAGACAGGAACAUCUAUUUAGAUUAAAUUACUUUUGAAACUCCUUUAAGUUAAAUCAACAAACUUUUGCUAUAUAUUUAAGACCUGUAUGAAUCCAAAUAAACAAACAGGAAAAAGGGGAAAGACAGAAAAGUAUCACCAUUAAGAAAGUCAACUUCUUUGAUGCCUUGAGUUGAAUAUUCUACAAGUUAAUCCUUAAAAGGGUUUAAGAUCAUUCUAUAGUUGAAUUAAGAUCCAACUGAGUUUUGCUUAUAAACAAAUCUGCCUUUUUUUACGUUUUUUCAUUAAAAUGAUAUAAAAAGCUAAAAAUCAGCAUCACUAUUGAAACUCCUGCAGAUUUCCUGGGAAUGUCACCCACUUAGCUGCCCUAAAAACCCAUCAAGAAAACUACUUUUCAUAAAAAACCAUUGUGACUGAACAGAUUGAGAUUAGACUGAGCCCAAAACCAAAAAUUUGAAAUCCACCUUCUCUGCCCCUUCCAAGAAAGGAUGGAAAUGAUAGAAAUUCUCAGUGGGUAUUCAGCGUCUCCACUUUAGCCCUUGGAUACAAUAAUGCACUUUACUGGAUCCAAACAUAGCCUGGCUUUCAGUACAACAGCAGAAGGACUAAGAGUGAGUCAACACAUGAUUUAUGACACAGAGCUGCAGAGAAGCAAGGCUCUGAAAGAGGUGUUGCUAAACACACAAGGAUAUGGCAUCUGUUUCCAACAUCUGUUCUCUUAGCAAUGCUCUUGACUUGUCCAUAAACCCUUCUAAAGCCCUGACAUUAAAGUUCCCAUGACAUUUAAACCACAAACAACUUCUUAAAAAGUUAAAUUUUCACAUAGGAAAUAUUUUUACUCCUUAAUUAGCACUUAUCCAAGAAAGGUAACACUGAUAUUAUAUCCAGAAUCACCCUUUCAUUGCAGGCAAUGAACUGGAACAUUGUUGGUGCAGGUUUUAGCAAUGUCAUCCCAUUUAAUCUGUCCUUAUUACAAGGGUCACUUUUAAAGCAUAUUUCUGUUAAAGGAUUUAAGCAACAAUUGAUAAAUAAGAAAAUAAUACAACAGACAGUUUUAUGGGAACUCAGAGGAACAUUUUUAUCUAACUAUAUUCAAUUCUGAGAUAAUUUUGUUGGUUUUGGCUUUUGAAGUGUUUUAAAGAGAAUACUAAAAACUUACUGUCCUCAC